Molecule: ribosomal RNA, 446 nt
Filed under: uncultured bacterium
Lineage: Bacteria
Description: partial 16S ribosomal RNA
Rfam family: Bacterial small subunit ribosomal RNA
Source: RNAcentral
CGCCAGACUCCUACGGGAGGCAGCAGUGGGGAAUAUUGCACAAUGGGGGGAACCCUGAUGCAGCGACGCCGCGUGAGUGAAGAAGUAUUUCGGUAUGUAAAGCUCUAUCAGCAGGGAAGAAGAUGACGGUACCUGAUUAAGAAGCCCCGGCUAAAUACGUGCCAGCAGCCGCGGUAAUACGUAUGGAGCAAGCGUUAUCCGGAUUUACUGGGUGUAAAGGGAGCGCAGGCGGCCUUGCAAGUCUGAUGUGAAAGGCCGGGGCCCAACCCCGGGACUGCAUUUGGAACUGUGCUGCUAGAGUGUCGGAGAGGCAGGCGGAAUUCCUAGUGUAGCGGUGAAAUGCGUAGAUAUCAGGAGGAACACCGGUGGCGAAGGCGGCCUGCUGGACUGCAACUGACGUUGAGGCCCGAAAGCGUGGGGAGCAAACAGGAUUAGAUACCCGAGUA